Molecule: long non-coding RNA, 1688 nt
Filed under: Arabidopsis thaliana (thale cress)
Lineage: Eukaryota; Viridiplantae; Streptophyta; Magnoliopsida; Brassicales; Brassicaceae
Description: long non-coding RNA (ATHA_LNC000737)
Source: RNAcentral
GGAAUCUCAAGUAGAGAUCAGCUCUGCUAUACUGGAAAAUAGAUCAGCUGAUAUCCAGCCCCCGCAAUCCAUUUUGGUUGAUCAAAAGGAUAUUGAAGAAUCCAAAGAACCUGGUAUCGAGAGUGCUGAUGUGUCUUUACACCAAUUAGCUGAUAUCCAGGCCGAGCCAUCCAAUUUGGUUGAUCAAAUGGAUAUUGAAGAAUCCAAAGAACCUGGUACCGAGAGUGCUGAUGUGUCUUUACACCAAUUAGCUGAUAUCCAGCCCGGGCCAUCCAUUUUGGUUGAUCAAAUGGAUACUGAAAAAUCCAAAGAACCUGGUACCGAGAGUGCUGAUGUGUCUUUACACCAAUUAGCUGAUAUCCAGCCCGGGCCAUCCAUUUUGGUUGAUCAAAUGGAUACUGAAAAAUCCAAAGAACCUGGUACCGAGAGUGCUGAUGUGUCUUUACACCAAUUAGCUGAUAUCCAGCCCGGGCCAUCCAUUUUGGUUGAUCAAAUGGAUACUGAAGAAUUCAAAAAUCCUGAUGUGUCUUUACACCAAUUAGCUGAUAUUGAGCCCUCACUGUCUAUUUCAGCUGUGCAAAAGAAUAUUGAGGAUAAGGAUCAAAGUCACGUUGAAACUGCUGGAUCUGAGUUAGUUGAUGUCUCUGCCGAAUGUUCAACAGAACCUCAAGUUCAAUUACCGCCAUCUUCAGAGCCAGUGGGAGAUAUGCACGUUCAUUUAGGGGCAAGCAAAUCAGAAAUAGUUGCCGAAGGUACUGACUUCUCUUCAUCUCUCCCGAAGACGGAGGAAGAAAAUGCCAAGAGCCAAUUAGCUGACACCGAGCCAUCAUCGUCUCUUACAGCUGUGCAAAAGAACAUUGAAGAUCAAGUUGAAACUGCUGGAUGUGAAUUUGUUGUUGUCUCUACCGGAUGUUCAACAGAACCACAAGUUCAAUUACCGCCGUCCGCAGAGCCAGUGGUUGCUGAAGGUACAGAAUUCCCUUCUUCCCUCCUAAUGACCGGGGUAGAUAAUUCUUCCCAUCUAAUGACCGGGGUAGAUAAUGCCAAGACCCAUCUCGCUGAUGUUGUGCCUUCAUCGUCACCUACAACUAUGGAAAAGAACAUUGAAGCUCAAGAUCAAGAUCAAGUUACAACUGGUGGAUGUGGUCUAGUUGAUGUCUUGACCGAAUGUUCGUCAGAACCUCAACUUCAACUGCCGCCAUCCGCAGAACCAGUGAUUUCUGAAGGUACAGAACUCGCUACACUCCCAUUGACGGAGGAAGAAAAUGCUGAUAGCCAAUUAGCUAAUAUUGAGCCCUCAUCGUCUCCUUCAGUUGUGGAAAAGAACAUUGAGGCUCAAGAUCAAGAUCAAGUUAAAACUGCUGGAUGUGAGUUAGUCUCGACUGGAUGUUCGUCAGAACCACAAGUUCAUUUACCGCCCUCCGCAGAGCCAGAUGGAGAUAUACACGUUCACUUAAAGGAAACAGAGAAAUCUGAAAGCAUGGUUGUGGUUGGCGAAGGUACAGCAUUCCCUUCAUCUCUCCCAGUGACAGAGGAAGGAAAUGCUGAGAGCCAAUUAGCUGACACUGAGCCCUUUACGUCUCCUACAGUUGUGGAAAAGAACAUUAAGGAUCAAGAACAAGUUGAAACUACUGGAUGUGGGUUAGUUGAUGAUUCUACCGGAUGUUCGUCAGAACCUCAAGUUCAAU